Molecule: ribosomal RNA, 331 nt
Filed under: uncultured Pseudomonadota bacterium
Lineage: Bacteria; Pseudomonadati; Pseudomonadota
Description: bacterial SSU rRNA
Rfam family: Bacterial small subunit ribosomal RNA
Source: RNAcentral
AACGAACGCUGGCGGCAUGCCUAACACAUGCAAGUUGAGCGAUAACCAAAGGGCUUGCUCUUUGGGGACAGCAGCGCACGGGUGAGUAACGCGUGGAUAACGUACCCUGGGGAUUGGGAUAACCCACCGAAAGGUGAGCUAAUACCGAAUGUCUUCCAAAGAAGUUCGCUUUUUUGGAAAAAGUGGGGCAACCCACGCCCAAGGAUCGGUCCGCGUUCCAUCAGCUAGUUGGUGGGGUAAAGGCCUACCAAGGCUACGACGGAUAGCUGGUCUGAGAGGAUGAUCAGCCACACUGGGACUGAGACACGGCCCAGACUCCUACGGGAGGCUG